AUGCCAACUUCCCUGUUCUUUCUUCUUUUUGUUGUUCUUGGAGGCCUGGUACCUCGUUUCAUCCCAGAUCGAGGGGCCUCACCGCGCCUGCCUGGUGAACGCCUCGGGCUGGUGCGUGAGGUUGAGGCUACGCGACCACGUACCGGCAGGAGACCUGUGCCGCCGUGCCACUUUGCAGAGGCGUGGACUACCGCCGGUUCGGUGUUUCUCGCGGGCGAGCCCAUCGUGAAAAUCGCUCCGCUGGAGAGCGACGGCGCUGGCCAGGGGCUGCCCUUCGGGACGUCGCCGGCCUCUUCCGCGUCGAGGCCGAUGGAAUCGCUCCGCCGGGAGCGUGCUGAUAACGUGUUGUAA
This 351-nucleotide ribosomal RNA is filed under the name Triticum aestivum (bread wheat). Its description in RNAcentral is "partial small subunit ribosomal RNA". Lineage: Eukaryota; Viridiplantae; Streptophyta; Magnoliopsida; Poales; Poaceae. The record is from RNAcentral.